CAAAAUCUCAACUUUAUUAGAAGAGACGCAUUUAUUAGAUAAAAAGCCAAUGCAUGCUUUUACAGUAUGAAAAUUGGUGAUUUAUAAUAACUUAGCAAAUCGCAUAGUGAAAACAGGCGAUAAAUCAUUCAAGUUUCUGACCUAUCAGCUUUCGACGGUAUGGUAUUGGCUUACCGUGGCAGUGACGGUUAACGGGGGAUUAGGGUUCGAUUCCGGAGAGGGAGCCUGAGAAACGGCUACCACAUCUAAGGAAGGCAGCAGGCGCGCAAAUUACCCAAUUCUAACAGUUUGAGAGAGGUAGUAACAAGAAAUAACAAUACAAGGCAGUUAAAAUGCUUUGUAAUUGGAAUGAUAGAAAUUUAAACCCUUUUUAAAGUAUCAAUUGGAGGGCAAGUCUGGUGCCAGCAGCCGCGGUAAUUCCAGCUCCAAUAGCGUAUAUUAAAAUUGUUGCAGUUAAAAAGCUCGUAGUUGAAGUUCUGCUAAAAGUAACCGGUCUGCUUUGAAUAAAAGUGGUAUCUUGGUAUGUAUUUAGCAAUGAUGUCCUUUGAAGUGUUUUUUACUUUAUUGUAAUAAAGCAUAUUCAGGACUUUUACUUUGAGAAAAUUAGAGUGUCUAGCAGGCCACACUUAUG
RNAcentral lists this ribosomal RNA (631 nucleotides) under Hepatozoon canis. RNAcentral describes it as "SSU rRNA". It matches the Rfam family "Eukaryotic small subunit ribosomal RNA", at positions 174 to 797 of the family's 1831-position model. Lineage: Eukaryota; Apicomplexa; Hepatozoidae. The record is from RNAcentral.